AGAGACUUAGGAUAACCUUAAAACCGGGAGCCUUCAAAGCUUUAAAUAGAAGUGAAAAUCUUCUCGUCCCUG
Molecule: transfer RNA, 72 nt
Filed under: Neocyema erythrosoma
Lineage: Eukaryota; Metazoa; Chordata; Actinopteri; Anguilliformes; Cyematidae
Description: tRNA-Trp
Rfam family: tRNA
About the family: Transfer RNA (tRNA) molecules are approximately 80 nucleotides in length. Their secondary structure includes four short double-helical elements and three loops (D, anti-codon, and T loops).
Source: RNAcentral